RNAcentral lists this ribosomal RNA (509 nucleotides) under uncultured bacterium. RNAcentral's name for it is "bacterial SSU rRNA". It matches the Rfam family "Bacterial small subunit ribosomal RNA", at positions 1 to 509 of the family's 1533-position model. The record is from RNAcentral.
ACUAGAGUUUGAUCCUGGCUCAGGAUGAACGCUGGCGGCGUGCCUAACACAUGCAAGUCGAACGGAGUUACUUAAUUUGAUCCCUUCGGGGUGACGAUUUUUUAACUUAGUGGCGGACGGGUGAGUAACACGUGAGCAACCUGCCUUUCAGAGGGGGACAACGGCUGGAAACGGCCGCUAAUACCGCAUAACAUACCGAGGCGGCAUCGUCUUGGUAUCAAAGGAGCAAUCCGCUGAAAGAUGGGCUCGCGUCUGAUUAGAUAGUUGGUGAGGUAACGGCUCACCAAGUCGACGAUCAGUAGCCGGACUGAGAGGUUGAUCGGCCACAUUGGGACUGAGAUACGGCCCAGACUCCUACGGGAGGCAGCAGUGGGGAAUAUUGCACAAUGGGGGAAACCCUGAUGCAGCAACGCCGCGUGAAGGAAGACGGUUUUCGGAUUGUAAACUUCUUUUCUUAGUGAAGAAGAUGUGACGGUAGCUAAGGAAUAAGCAUCGGCUAACUACGUGCC